Molecule: ribosomal RNA, 229 nt
Filed under: uncultured bacterium
Lineage: Bacteria
Description: partial 16S ribosomal RNA
Rfam family: Bacterial small subunit ribosomal RNA
Source: RNAcentral
CGUGUAGGCGGCCAGGUAAGUCAGAUGUGAAAGUCCCGGGCUCAACUCGGGAAGUGCAUUUGAAACUGCUUGGCUUGAGUAAGAGGGAGGAAAGUGGAAUUCCUGGUGUAGAGGUGAAAUUCGUAGAUAUCAGGAGGAGCACCGGUGGCGAAGGCGGCUUUCUGGCUCUAUACUGACGCUGAGACGCGAAAGCGUGGGUAGCAAACAGGAUUAGAUACCCUGGUAGUCC